GCUUCUAGUAGGCCAAACUCCCAGGUGACCCCCGCAAGAAACGCGGUCCGGAGAGGGUCUGGCCCCACUGCUGGGGCAAGGGCUCUAGGCGCCCGGACCCCACGCCCGCAGCCUGCGGAGAACGUGCCGACAAGGACCUGUAGGGCCCCACUCCCCCUCCUCCCUCCCUCGGCGCAGCCCGGCCCAGGGGUCUGUCCUCCCAGGCCCAGGAAAGGAGGAAACCCACUUCCGCCGCGUCCAUGAUCUCCCGCGGCUUCUCCUGACUCUUGCGGCUGGCGCUGGCGCUGGGCAUCGGGACACGGAACUGGGCAGUGGACACCACCCUCCCUCGCAGGCUUCCGUAAGGCAGGCCAAAGGGGCUUCUCCCUCCCUCCCAGUCUCCGCCCUCCCGACCCUGGGGUCUCAGCACACGCGCUCGGACUCCGCGUGGAGGUGCGGCUCCAGAAAGAUCGCGAGAGCUGCGGCUAUCUCGAGAUCCCGGAGCGCUGGCGGCCGCGCGCAGGGUCUCCUCCCACUCUUGCCCCGCCCCUCCGGGAGUUUUCCCGGAGUUGGAGGGAAUUCCCGGGAAUUCGCGGUAGUUUCGCUGGAUUGGCUCUGGGGGCGGGGGCAGGGGUUACCAGGUGGCUGGCUGUAGACCUGGGCGAAUGCCAGCUCUCUUCAGCUUCGUCCCAACUGCGACUUCUGCUCCAUUCUUCUAACAGCCCUUUCAACUCCGCUCGGCUGUAACCGCAGACUCGUCACUAAAACACCCACCUAAGCGCGGGCCUUGGUUUCUCCUCUCUUGGACUUUCCCGCCUUCUCUCUUCCCCUGGGCGACGUAGCUGCUUGGGGACGGAGGAGGCCUCUUCGCAAUCCAUUGCCCUGCUUGUUGGGACAGAGGAGUGCAGUUGGCUUGCCAAGGCAGCAUGGGUUACCAGUCCCUGUAGUGUUCUUUCUUGGAACCAUCUGCCAAGCUGUGAGGAAGCUCCAGAGCCAUAUGACAAGACCUGAUGGAGGAUAACUGAGGACUUUGGCCAACAACCCCAGCUGAGCUCCAGUUGGAAUGUGAAUGAGGCCAUUUUGAGUGUUCCAGCCUAUUGGAGCCCUAGCCAACACUCUACAAACUAGAACUGCCUGAUUGACCCGCAGAAUCAUAAGAAAUGUAAACUGCUGUUUUAAGCCAGUACAUUGGGAGGUGGUUUGUUAUGCAGCAAUACCUGACUGAAACACUGGGGCUCCUUUGCUCAGCUUGGUUUUGAGGCCUUGCACCACGUUCACCUGCUCACCUCAUCACCCUCAAACCUCUGCAGGGAAAUACAACUUACUUUCUGGGUUUUCACAGUCAUUUUAGCUCAUGGACAAAGUGGUUCACUCAUCAGUGACUAUGAAAGUGGCCAAAUGAUGAUCACAAUACUAAUUAAGACUUUUUGAAUGCUUAUGAUGUGCCAGGCACUGUUUUAAGUGUAAUAUAUUUAUUCAUACAUUUAAUUUUUAGAACAACUUUUUGGCUGAGAAAGACAGGAUUCACUUCCAGUGCUUUCCAAAGCAGCAUUCUCUUUGUCUUAAGUCAGGGAAGGCCUUCAAAUUACUUUCAUUAGAAGAAGAUUUAAAGGAAUGUUUCUGUUUAGGGUUUUUCAGUCUAAACAAUUUUUAGAACAAUUUUUUGAGCUAGGCACUAUUAUUAUUUCCAUUUUAUGAUAAAACAACUAAGGCACAGAGAGGCAAAAUAACUUGUAAAACAGUAAGUGGGUCAAAUCACCAUCAGAACCCAAGCAUCGGCCCCCAGAGCCACAUGCUUAGCUACUGUGAUGUCCUGCCUCCCAUAAAUAAUAUCUCAAGCUUAUUUUUAUUUUUUUAAAAAACGUUUUUGAGUCAGGAUCUUGCUUUGUCACACAAGCUGGAGUGCAGUGGUAUGAUCAUGGAUCUCUGUAAACUUGAACUCCUGGGCUCAAAAGAUCCUCCUCCCUUGGCCUCCCAAAGUGCUGGGAUUAUACAGGUGAGCCACCAUGCCUGGCCCUACUUGAGUUAAGAAAAUCCUCUAAGGCUUUGAUUGCCUCGUUCAUUUAUUCUAGGUUCCAGGCUGUGUCCCAUGCUGGCAGUUACAUUUAGAAAACUCUAAUGUUAGAGAAGUCUGAAUUAACUAUUCCUACAUUCACAGUUCAGGGUAGGAUAGAGUGUUUGCUUGGUUUUCCCAGGUUUCUCAUCCCUGUGUGGCCACCGCAGAGGGCAGCAGAGUGACAGGCUGAGGGUGCAGAGGGGGCAGAGAAGCAGAACUGAUGGAGGGCCCAGGCAGGGCAGGGGUGGGCGGAGCUAUUUGCACAUCUCAGGAGUGAGAGCUAGGCGGGAGCUCAGCCCUAACUCUCACCAACCACCCACUGAUGGAGAGGGCAGCUUCUUCCAAUAGCAAGGGCUGUGGCUGCCAAAACUGUGCCAUUUGACUUGAAGCGGAGGAAAGUCUCCUUGCUUGCUAUGCAAUUGCAAUUGCAGCCUUAAGGCAAGCUCCCCACGGCCUUCAGAUCCCUCCCAGGCAGACAUCCUGGAGCUGUCACUGCAAAGCUUGUGAUUUUGCUUCAAGCAGCCCUUGAAGUUCUCCUGCUUCCUAUUUGCCUGAUAACUGCCCCAAGGACUCUGAAGGAACAUUUUAAAAGCUAAUUAUAAAAUUUAGUAGGCCUGCAUUCUUACAUUGUAUUAAGAGUGAGGCCUUUGGAGACAGCCCUGGGUCAGAGUUCCAUCUCUGCUGCUUAAUUGCUGUGUGGCUUUGGGAAAGCUGUUUUCUUCUCAGAUUCUCAAUGUUCUUGGCUGUAGAAUGGGUUAGUGAUAUUUACCCUGUGUGCUUGUUGUGAGCAAUAAGUAAUCCUAUAGUCAAAGCCCUUGGCCUCAUAUAUACCAGGCAACCAUCAGGGUAGCUAUUAAUUACAAACAUAGAAUAUAUUGUGGAUCUAUGAGACCAUUAACAUACCAUGCAGUCUUAGCAUGUAAGCAGCAAAGGGUAAAGCUGGUGUUUCAUGCUCUGCUGUACAAUGUUUGCAGAGGAAAAAAGACAAUCACCCUGAUCUAUUUUAGAAAAAUGCUAUAUUUUAAUCGCUUCUCUUUUUACUUUCUUAUUUUAGUUUUGUCCUUUAAAUGCUUUGGAGCAUUUAAUAGCUCUUCUGCUUUCAACUUCUAUAAAUUCACAACUUCUAUAAAUUUAAAAAGUGUCUAAAUCUUGAUUAAAUGCUCUUAAUCUGAGGCUUAUGGGUUUCCAGGGGUCUGUGAACUUUUUGAAAUUGCAUGCAACAUUGUUUGUGUCUACACAUAUGUGCAUUUUUGAGGGGAAAUGAUUCAUAAUUGUCAACAGACUCUCAAAGGAUUCUGUAGUUGGACAAAAGAUAUAGAAGAGUCCUUGGACAAAAGACUGAAAAACCCUAAACAGAAACAUUCUUUUAAAUCUUCUUCUACAGAAAGUAAUUUGAAGGCCUUCCCUGACUUAAAGUGGAUGCUGCUUUGGAAAGCACUGGAAAAAUGGAUCCUGUCUUUCUUAGCCAAGGACUGGUCUCUUUUCUCCAAUGUGUCCCUAACAGAGUGGUGAGGCUGGCUCUUCCCACCAGUACAGGUAAUGUGGUAAAGAUAGGACCACGUGGACGAAGAGGUAUUACCUUCUCUAAUUACAGCUAACAAAGACCUAGGCCUAACCUCAACUGCACCUUCUGUCUCUGGGAAGUCACUUAUAGAGUAGACCUAUAAUUAGGAUUUGGUACCGGAAACAUAAUUCUCAGGAUGGUGAAUCUCUAAAUUAUGUCCCCAGAGACAUACCUGAGACAAAACCCUAAGGGCUGUUGGCCGUAAGAGGGUGUGUGUGGUAUUCUACAUUCAGUAGGGAUUUAUAAAUGAGGAUGAUAUCACUCAGAAGGGGCAGGUGUCCAAGAGGCCCUUUUGACUUCUGCAAUGGGGCCUGACAGCCCCGUGAACUGAGCUCCAUAAUUUAUGCCUCCGGCAUAGAAUCUGUGCAAAGCAGGAAUGGCCGUAUCAGCAUUUGGGGAUUUAAAGCAGCUUUUUUUUUUUUUUUUUUGAGAUGAAGUUUUGCUCUUGUUGCCCAGGCUGGAGUGCAAUGACACAAUCUCAGCUCACUACUACCUCCACCUCCCGGGUUCAAGCGAUUCUCCUGCCUCAGCCUCCUGAGUAGCUGGGAUUACAGGCAUGCGCCACCACGCCCAGCUAAUUUUGUAUUUUUAGUGGAGGCUGGUUUCUCCAUGUUGGUCAGGCUGGUCUCAAACUCCCAACUUCAGGUGAUCCACCCUCUUCGGCCUCCCAAAGUGCUGGGAUUACAGGCGUGAGCCACCAUGCCUGGCUAAAGCAGCUUUUUUUAUCCACAGACCUCUUUCCCAAAUUGUAAGGAGGAUUCAGCUCAUUGAUUUCACUUUAUUUUAAAAGAAAAUAAUUAUUGAUGUGUAAAGUAAAUGAAAACACAGUCAAGUGGGAGUGUAAUUGAAAGUAAUUUAAGAGUUCAAUGGUUGAUGACUUUUUUCAAUUAUGAUAUCUCUUUAUUAAUAGGAAAUUCAUAAAUUAAGGAGUAUGCAAUAUAAUCAUUGUGGAAUAUAUUAGGGAAACAUUUUUGAUCCAUGCAAGUAAAUUGAGAUAGACUGGGUGCACCUGUUCCUAGUCAUGCCCAGGGAAUAUGUGAAACUCUGGCUCAGGAUGAACGUCUGUUGGUGUCAGCACAACAAUAAUGAAACAAAGUUGGCAGUAGGGUGGGGAAGUGUUUGGUGGGUGGGAGCCACCAUCUGCAGCCAGCUCCCAGCACGGCUGUGUGUUCGGAUACCCAUCAACCAGGAAAGGGAGUCUAAGGCCUCCAGAUGAUUUUCCCCUUUCACAAAACUGUUGUAAAAUGAAAUACAAAUCCUUCCUGAAUGUUCCUAGCUUUUCUUCCUUUCGGAAGUUUUCAGUCAAUGGGAAACAAAGCCUUAUUCAAAGGAUUAAAGCCAUAGUCAUUCUAUUGUUUGGGGCUUCAAUAAUGUGGCUUUCCUUCCACAGACAGAAUUUUCAAUUCACAAAUCAUCUGAAAAACAGGAAAUUUUGGAGAAACAUGCUUAUGAUAACAAACAAGGGAUCUAUCGUGUGGUAUAGAAGUUUACACAAAGAGGCAUCUGAUUUUAAGUUUUUGUUUUUUUUUUUUUUUUUUUUUUUACCGUUCUGGGCUUCUGGCUGCAUUCUAGGAAGAUCAUUCCUUAAAAGAAAUAGCCAUAUGGCUUAUAAGGUAAGACUACUCAGUUCCCAUCCCAACCCCCAGAAGAGAAUGGAGGAAGGGAAGCAGACUCUGGCUAUAUUUUUAUGGCUGCACUCCAGGCAGUACUGCAGAGGCAACAGGCAGGCUCUGAAAUGCCUUCUUCCCCCUGCUAUCCUCAGGCCUGUGUUUCUCUCUUACUCCACCCAAGUCCUGGGCCCUUACAUGGCAGAGGGAGGGAGAAGGGCCAGCAACAUUGGUUAACAGGAAUAGAGAAUGUUCGAGGAAGGCAGUGGCAGGCAAUAGCCAUAGAGAGUCACAGAAGGUUAAAGAGGUUGUGGAAACAGUCAUUUGUUUUUCAAGCAGUUCCGGUGGGGUUUGAGAAAGCAGCAGCACUCAACUGUGAGCAGACAAACUCACUUUGGAAACCUAUGCAGCCACUUCUAAGUAAACUACCAAGAGAAUUAUUAUUUUAUUUAGGUUCCUCAUUUCAGUGACAAUCUUUUAAUCCUUUGAACUGUAUGCUGAAAAGGACAUUAUAGAUCCUCCUGAAAGAUAAUUUUUAGUGUCCACGGUUCCCUCAAUAUGAUGAUUUUUUUCCUUGGUCCCUAUCUUUCACCAUUCCCUUUACCUUUUAUCCAUGCUUUUCCCUGAUUGAAGGAAGACAGAGUCUAUUUGCUUCCUAGCAUCUUCUUCUAUGGCUCUUGCUACUGAAAGUGUGAUCUAGAUUCCAGCAGCAGAACAGCAGCAUUUUGCUUCUGAGAAGUGCAGAAUCUCAGGCACCAUCCUAUGACUACUGAAUCAGAAUCAGCAUUUUAACAAGAUCCUUGGUGAUUUGCAUGCAUGUUAGUUUGGGAAGGGCUGAUCUGUACAGAUCUGCCCUAUAGGCCUGACUCAUAACCCACACUCCCCAAAACCUGCAAGAUCCUACAUUUCUGGCCCUGUAUACUUCUCUAGUCUCAUCCCAUGUCACUCUACCUCUCAUUCACUAGUUCCAGCCCCACUAGUCUUUCUCGUUCUGGCCUCCAAGCCUUUGUACUUGCUGUUCUCUCUGCCUGGAGUGCUCUUGUCCCAUCUAGUAUGGCUGACUCUUUUAUUUCAGCUUAACUGUUACUUCUGGCUGUGAGCGGUGGCUCACACUUGCAAUCCCAGCACUUUGGGAGGCCGAGGUGGGCAGAUCACUUGAGCCCAGGAGUUUGAGACCAGCCUGGGCAACAUGGCAAAACCCCAUCUCUACAGAAAAUACAAAAAUUAGUCAGGUGUGGUGGCACACACCUGUGGUCCCAGCUGCUCAGGAGGCUUGAGCCUGGAAGGCUGAGGUUGCAGUGAGCCAAAAUUACACCACUGUACUCCAGCCUGGGCAACAGAGCAAGACCCUGUCUCAAAAAAAAAAAAAAAUUUACUUCCUUUGAGGAUGCUUUCCUGACCCCUCUAUAUGAAGAACUACCUCCAACCCAGCUACUCUCUAUUCCAUUACCCUGUUUUAUAUUUUUAUGGCACUUACUGUUAUCUGAAGUAAUUUUAUUCAUUCAUUUUUGGGUCUAUUUUAUUCAGGAUUGUGUGUCCAGUGUUCAGAAGAGUGCCUGGCACAUCAAAAGUGCUGAGUUAAUGUUUAUUGGGUAAAUGAAUACAGUUUUGGGAAUCAUGAACAUUGAGAACCUAGGCCCAGACAAUUCUAAGGUAAAAUAUGUCACCCUCUGAACCAACCCGACAGCUUUCAGCUGAUUGACCUAAGACCAGUGCUUUUGGGUGCCCGGAUGAGCAUAUCAAAGCCUGGUCCCCUGAGCAGUUGCAUCAAUAUCUCCUAGGAACUUGAUAGAAAGGCAAAUUCUUGGGCCUUACCACAGACCUACUGAAUCAGAAAUCUUGGCAAUAGGGUUCACCAUUCUAUGUUUUAAGGAGCCUGCCAGGUAAUUCUGAUGCACUGCCCCACACAAUACCAACAUCUUACCAGUGUGGAGAACCCACAGUGUUCAAAGCUCUCUUACAUAUAUCGCUGUUGUUCUGGACUUCAUAAAAGCCCUGAGAAUAGGCAUGGCAGGUGUCAUUAUUUCCCCUUUACAGAUGAAGAAAUUGAGCCCUAGGAAAUUAUUCCAUUUGUGUUGGUAAUACUUGCUUUAUCAGAAUCACUUGGAACGCUUGUUAAAAUUGCAGAUACCUGGGCUCUACCCUAGACCUACUGAAUCAGAAUCAUUGGGGCUGGGGCUCUGGAAUCUAGAUGAAAAAAAAAAGAAGCUCCUAGGACAUUCUAAAGCUAAAAGUUUGAGAACCAAUUGCAACAGGAAACAGUGGAAUAGAUAUCAGAGCUUAUAGCCCCUCAUUCCUAAGGCAUGCUCUUAGAGAGUCUUGAGAAGAGUAAGUAAUGAUAAAGAAUGAUAUUGAUCUUUAGUAUCUUUUAGUGAAAAUAGUUAAAACAAACUGGCAGUAAUUCUUUCACCUUUAUUAGACCCUAACCCUACUUGCUACUGUUGUAAACCAGGGAGAAUCAAACUCCAUGACAAUGGACUGUUUCUUUGUAUAUAAUUUAGUUGUGUAUAGAACCAACUAACUGGACAUCAACUAAGGGGUGGCAGGUUUUCCUGAUUAGUUUGUGAUACAGGAAUUUUUAUUUAUUAUUAAAAAAAAUUUUUUUUUGAGACAGAGCCUCACUCUGUUGCCCAGGCUGGAGUGCGAUGGCACCAUCUUGGCUCACUGCAUCCUCACCCACUGGGGGCGAUCUUCCCACCUCAGCCUCCUGAGUAGCUAGAACUACAGGAGUGCACCACCACACCCGGCUAAUUUUUUUUUUUUUUUUUGAGAUGGAGUCUCACUCUUGUCACCCAGGCUGCAGUGCAAUGGUGCGAUCUCGGCUCACUGCGACCUCUGCCUCCCGGGUUCAAGUGAUUCUUCUGCCUCAGCCUCCCAAGUAGCUGGGAUUACAGGUACGUGCCACCAUGCCAGGCUAAUUUUUGUAUUUUUAGUAGAGAUGGGAUUUCACCAUGUUGGCCAGGCUUGUCUCAAACUCCUGACCUCAGGUGAUCCACCUGCCUCAGCCUCCCAAAGUGCUGGGAUUAUGGGUGCGAGCCACCAUGCCCAGUCCUGGCUAAUUUUUAAAAAACAUUUUUUUGUAGAGACUGAGUCUUGCUACGUUGCCCAGGCUGGUCUCAAACUCCUGGGCUCAAGGGGUCCACUUGCCUUGGCCUCCCAAAGUGCUGGAAUUACAGGCAUGAGCCACUGUGCCCGGCCUAAAAACAGUAACUUUUAAAAAUACUUCUCCAAAUGGGCAAGUAACUCCCAAAUCUCUUCUCCUGCCCCAGCUUCCCUGGCUCCAGGCCCAUACAUUGAACUGCAUAUGGAACAGUUCUCUUCUAGAUGACCUGCGGGCAUCUUCAUCUUAGUAUGUCCAAAUUCAUUACUUUCUUUCCCACCCCAUCCAUUCUUCUUCCUGGCUACACUCUAUCAGCGAAUGACUACAUAUAUCACCCACUGUGUCAUCUUAGCCAGGAAUCCAGGCAGUUUCUGGAUUCCUUCCAUCCUGUCUCUGGAUAGCUAACCAGUCAUUUCAUUGUACUCCUUAGAUUGCUCUCAAAUCACCACCCCUUCCUUCAUCUCUACUCAACUCCAGUUCAAGCCCUCAUCAUCUCUUGCUUGGGUUGUCAUGAUGGCUUCCAAAAUGGUCCCUUUGUCGGUGCUUCUAGUUGACCUCAUUUCUCCUCUUCCUUCCUUUUGGCUCUAUGCUUCAGUGCUGUCAAAUUGCUUUCACUUUUUUAAAAAAGAGUUUUCCAUUUUAAUUUCUGAGACACAUGACACAUCUUUGUCAAUGUUAGGUCUGGGAAAGUUUCUAUUAACUUCACAAGACAGAAAGGACCCUUCUCUCCAGCAGUGAAAAAUUCAAAAGAAGAGAGCUUCAGGGAGUUCAGUUGCUACCCAGCAGAAGCUUCAAUUUCUAACAAAACUGUGAAGUUUCAAAUAAUGAAGGGGAACUUCACCCCAAGAUGGUACUCACUUAGGAACAUUAUUUUCCUUCAGCUUUCCCUUGAAAUAUUCAACAGCUUUUUUUUUUUUCGAGACAGGGUCUUGCUCUGUUGCCCAGGCUGGAGGGCAGUGGCAUGAUCUUGGCUCACUGCAACCUCUGCCUCCCAGGUUCAAGCGAUUCUCCUGCCUCAGCCUCCCUAGUAGCUGGGACUACAGGCAUGCACCACCACGCAUGGCUAAUUUUUGUAUUUUUAGUAGAGACAGAGUUUCACCAUGUUAGCCAGGCUGGUCUCGAACUCCUGACCUCAGGUGAUCUGCCUGUCUGGGCCUCUCAAAGUGCUGGGAUUACAGGUGUGAGCCACCGCGCCUGGCCUCAACAACUUUCUUCUCCCCAUUAGGAUUACCUCCAUUGUGGGCUCUUUUCGAGGGAGGAGGCACUGCAUUCUCACUCCCAGUCUAAAGCUGCUUUCCCUUCUCGGUGAUGUUUUCUGCUUCCAUGCCUUUGUACAUGCUGUGUCUGUUCUAUUGAUUUUCCUUUUCCCAUCUCCUGUGUAUGGCAAACUCCCACUUGUUUUUCAUGAUUCUGCUCAAGUGUUCUUUCCUGUAUGAAGCCCAAGCUGUCCACUUGGAGAGACAUCUGGCCAGCCCCCCGUUGUUCCAGCCAUCCCCAGUUCAGGCAUCAGACAUGUGGUGAAGAAGCCAUCCUAGAUGCCCAGCCCCAGCUACCAUCUGAUGCAACCACACUGCUCACCCCGAGCAAGAACUGCCUGCAGGAGCCUAGUAUUAUCCUCUCUCACAGAACCAUGGCAGGGAAUAAUAAAUUGUUGUUUGAAGCCACUCUGUUUUGUGGUGGUUUGUUAGGCGGCAAUAGGAAACUAGAACACCAUAGCUUUUUUUUUUUUUUUUUUUUUUAGAAAAUAACUUGAUAUUCAUAAGCACAGCUUUUUAAGCUGCUUUUAUUAUUUUUCCCUUUAUACGAGUGCAUUCUGCAACAUAAGGAGAUUUCUAUCUCAGCCCUGAACAAGAUUUAUGAUCUUGAUCAAGUCUCUUUAUAAUAAUGUCACAGAACUUUACUUGCUUCAAUUCUAAUAUGAAGGAUUGAACUAGUUAAUCACUAAGGUCCACUCUAGUUCCAAAAUUGUGGCAUUCUCUUCUAACUAUCAGGGAAAAAUUGACUUAUUCUUUGUUAAGUUGUAGCUUGCAGUAAAGUUUUUUGGGCAUGAGAAUUUUCAGCAAGGUGGUGAGUGCCAGGAAAGUGCUGACUCAGCACAAUGCUGUCUGUUAGCCAGGAACAAAAAUGAGGAGCAACCAUAAAUUUAAUCCUUUAGCUCCUUCUCCCUGCAAAAUUCAGAAGAUGUUUUAUCUGUAACAAAAGACUUGAAAGAGGAUUCUCACUUUUUCCCUUAAAAGUUGUUACUCAAGUCUGUAGGUAACUUCAGGAUUUUUGACAGAAGAUUCAGAUUUGCAUAGUUGACUCAGUCUCCGGAAGAUCCCUACACUCAAAUUCUAAGUUUAGGGCAAGUGAACUGAGUGAUUCCUAGAGGAAAUAAACUCUCGCCUGAGAACAACAGCUGAAAUAAAAUCCCAUAAGCCAGGAAAACAGCCACACAAUUACAGUAACAGGUGGUCAGUUUCAAAACAAAUUUCAAGGUCUGACUCGCCUGGCACCUGCUCUAGAACCACAGACAGCAGUUUGACACUGUCUGGGUCCAAGUUAGGUCAUCCCUGCCACACCAUAAGGAAGAUUAACUACCUUUAUUAGCAGAGCUAAGUCAUGGUAGGUUAGAGGACUGCUUCUCUGUGGUAGUAACCCCUGUGUUCCCUGUCUGAGAAGAGGGAAUAAGAGAGAAUUUGGGAACUGGACAGGACCUUGCAGAUUAACCAUUAGGUUGGUGCAGAAGUAAUUGCAGUUUUUGUCCUUAAAAGUAAUGGCAAAGUGAAGCCGAGGGGAGCUAAGCAGAGAUUUGCUCAGAAUCACAUGACCUGUAGAAGCAGAACAUCCCCACCCCCAUUUUAUUGUGAAAAAAUUCAAACACACAGCAAAGUUGAAAGGAUUUUUACAAGACACAGCUGUAUAUGCAUUUCCUGGAUUCUACUGUUAAUAUUUUAUUAAACUUGUUUAUUUUCUAACUAUCCCUCUAUCCAUCCUUCUAUCACCUUAUUUCCUGGAUGCCUUUCGAAGUGAAUUGCAGACAUCUGUACUCCUUCCCCUAAAGCAGCAUAGUGUUUUAUCAUCAUUUAAUAAUUUAAUACCUCAAUUUUGUAUACAUUAUGGAACCAGGAAACAUUAUAAGAAAUCACUGGACCCCAAAAAUGUUAAUUAGCCUUGGCUAGCCUGAAAGAGAACACAAUUUCCUAAGGUCCUAACUUUAAGGCACUUGAGGAUUCUUACUAAGGGCAAAUUCCUGAGAUGACAGAAAUACUAGUCAACACACAUCAAUGCCUAUGUUUUUCCCUCCUCCUGGAAUCCUGUGCUUUCCCCUUCCUGCUCCACCUGUUGAAAUCCUCUCUUCAUUCGUCCAAGAAUGAUCUCAGAUGUCUGCAAGGAACAUAAACCACUGUUACACACGUAUUGUUUUAAGGAAAAAAGUUACUGAAGAAGUCUGAACUGUCACCUCCUUCCCAAUCCCUUUCCUAAACCCCGAGUUUUAACUUUUCUCAUUUUAAUGCCCAUAAACUUUCAUUGCUAUUUUUCCUCCCUCAUUCUACCUUGUUGCAGUUUAGUGUUUAUUUGUUUGUUUAUCACGACUACUGCUCCUCCUCCUAAUAAUACUUAUGGUUAAUUUCUUUUUAAGGGACUAUAUCUUAAGACUAUGUGUCUUCUGCAGUUCUUUGCAUAGAGUCAACGUUGAAGGACAAGCAACUUCAAAUUUCCAAGCAACAAAAUUAUGUUCGGGUGGUUUUCUGAAAGCGAGAUCUUAAGAACCACCUGUAUCAGAAUCCCAUGAAGAGCUUGUUUAGUGUGCAAAUUUACAGAUUGUCCCCCCUCAGAAAUGCUCAUUUAGGAGUUCCUGUCCUUUGCGGGGACAUGGAUGAAGCUGGAAACCAUCAUUCUCAGCAAACUAACACAGGAACAGAAAACCAAACACUGCAUGUUCUCACUCAAAAGUGGGAGUUGAACAAUGAGAACACAUGGACACAGGGAGGGGAACGUCACACACCAGGGCCUGUCGGGGGUGGGAGGUAAGGGGAGGGAGAGGAUUAGGACAAAUACCUAAUGCAUGUGGGGCUUAAAACCUAGAUGAUGGGUUGAUAGGUGCAGCAAACCACCAUGGACAUGUAUACCUAUGUAACAAACUUGCAUGUUCAGUACAUGUAUCCCAGAACUUAAAGUAAAAUAUAAAACAAUAAUAAAAAGGAAAUGCUCAUUCAGGAGUUUUGGGGUGGGGGUUCAGGAGGCUGCAGCCUUAACAAUUACCUCUGGUGAUUUUGACACAGGUAGCACAGCAGCCAAACUUGGAGAGAUUUGUUCACAGCACUGCAUCACCAACCUUACUUUCUGUUAGGCCUUUAAUCACUUUUUUUUUUUUUUUUUUUUUUUUUUUCUGAGACAGGGUCUUGCUCUAUCACCCAGGCUGGAGUACAGUGGCACGAUCUUGGCUCACUGCAAUCUCUGUAUCCUGGGUUCAAGCAAUCCUCUCUGCCUUGGCCUCCUGAGUAGCUGGGACCACAGACAUGCUCCAUUAUGCCCAACUAAUUAAAAACAUUUUUUUUAGAGGCAGGCUGGUCUCGAACUCCUGAGCUCAAGCAAUCUGCCUGCCUCGGCCUCCCAAAGUGCUGGGAUUACAGGUGUGAGCCACUGCGCCCGGCCUUUUAAUCACUUUUAAACCAGCAACCCUAAUCUGCCUGUCCCUUGAAUGGAUCCGGAUAAAGGUGUGGCAAACAAGCCUCCUGUCACAGUGGGGUGUGACAGUCACGGCAUCACCCCUUCACCACAUCAUGUGCUGCCAGUCAUCACUUCUGCUGUUGCCACCAACCCUUGCGUUUCCCUUUGUCACUUCCCCCUUGCCACCACCAACGGCCACUGUCCCUCUGCUCCUCACCCUCCAUAGCUGAGUCAGAUCCAGCAUUGGGCACUUGAGGAAGAAGCCACUGUGGAAGGCGGGAUGAGGGUGUUCCCAUUCUACAUUCACAAGCCCACAGCUUGGAGAAGAAGCACACCUAAUUCUGACCCUGGCUUCUGAAGAAGCUCUGCAAACCUGGCUAGAAAGUUGGGCCUGUGGUUUGAGGUUCCUGCUGCCUUUGAUUUUACAAUGAGUGGAAAUUGAGGUUGAGUAACAGGUCUCUUGCCCAAGUAUUAAGGGCCACCACGAAGCAUACAGCAAUGAAGGCAGGAGCUGAUGACAUGUGGUUGGUUCCCCCCUCUAGGCCAAGUAUCUUUGUAUAGGGAAGGCCGACAUGGCCAUCUUCACGGUUUGGUAUUAGUGGAGUGUCUUAUACAUACUGAAAUUUGUUUUUGUUUUCAGGUGCUAAAAGGAUAAUACCAAGGAAAACUAUGGGUGGGGGCAGUGAAUGGCCAGCAUGCCUAUAAUCCCAGCACUUGAAGCCAGGAGUUCGAGACCAGCCUGGGAAACAAAGCAAGACCCUGUGUCUAAAAAAAUUUUUUUAAAAAUAAGCUGGGCAUGGUGGCACGUGCCUAUAGUCCCAGCUACUCAGCUACUCGGGAGACCAAGGUGGGUGGAUAGCUUGAGCCUAGGAAUUUGGGGCUGCAGUGAGCUAUGAUUGCACCACUGCGCUCCAGCGUGAGUGACAGAGUGAGAUCCUGUCUCUUUAAAAGAAAAAACUAUGAUUCAAAGUGUUGUUUUAUGAAGCAUAACCUGCUUUAUGUUUUGAGUUUAAUAUAACUUGAAAUCAGUUUCUCUAAGACAGUGCCAGCCUUGCCAUUUUUCAGUUCAACAUAGAUUUCUCUAUUACAGUGGUUCCCAAACUUUAGGAGGCAUCAAAGUCAUCUGGAGGGCACAAAAACACAAAUUUAUGGAUGUCACCCACAGUUCCUAAUUCUCUCUCUCUCUCUCUUUUUUUUUUGAGAUGGAGUCUUGCUCUGUUGCCCAGGCUGGAGCACAGUGGUGUGAUUUCGGCUCACUUCAACCUCCGCCUCCUGGGUUCAAGUGCUUCUCCUGCCUCAGCCUCCCGAGUAGCUGGGAUUACAGGCUUGCGCCACCACACCAGGCUAAUUUUUGUAUUUUAGUAGAUAUGGGGUUUCAUCAUGUUGUUCAGGUUGGUCUUGAACCCCUGACCUCAAGUGAUCCACCCACCUCGGCCUCCCAAAGCCCUGGGAUUACAGGCGUGAGCCACCAUGCCUGGCCUGUUUCUGAUUCUCUAGGUCUGGAAAGGGGCCCAAUAAUUUUCACUUCUAACAAGUGGCAGGAUGCUGCUGCUGCUGCUGGUCCAGGGACCACACUUUGAGAAGUAUGGUACUGUGUGGUACUUACCGGACCAUUUACCAUACUUCCUGCCUGCCUAAUUGUGUCACAAUAUAGCCGUGCUUCUCAGGCCUAGCAAUUCAUUAGAAUUACCUGUGAAGCUUUUAAAAUGUAAGGUUUGGAUGGAAUGCUCAGACCCUACCUUAGACCCAAUUAAGCCCACAGCUUUGAGGGUGAGGCUUGGGUAUUGUUCAGAAAGAUCCCCAGGUGAUUCUAAUGGAUACCGAGGGUUGAGAACCACAGGCAUAUAGCAAACUCUGGCCCUAUUCUACCUUAACAUAUGAUUCUCAUUUGACAAAUACAUAUUGACCACCUAAUAUAUGUCUUGAAAAUGAUAAAGUAUGUAAGAAAUGGUCCCUGACCUCAAGCAGAGAUACAUCAUAUGCCCAAAUAUUUAAACAAAAAGCUGGUGUGUGGGGUUUGUGCCAAUUAGAGGACUAAACCAUUACUGAAAACAGAAGGCUGGAUGAUUCAGGGUAAAUCAAUGCUGCACUUGAUCCUCACAUUGUUUGAGAUAAGUUAUGUAUGCCUCUGCUGCACAUGAAACGUAUCCCUUUGGUGGGGGAAAUUGCUCAUUUAUUGGUUCGUUGAGGAUGUUCCAACUGAUUCACCAUGGUAGGUGUGAUUGAACCAUGGAAAUGAUGGAACAUUAAAUCAAUAGCUAGUCAGCUGGUGACUAUUCCUUGGCUAAGUAUGCUAUUAAGGUUCUGUUUCAGAAGUCCCUGUGCUCAAUGGAGGUGAACCUUUCCAGUGGAGAAAUACAACAUGAAUUAUGUUUAGAAAAUGCUUCAAUCUGGGGUUUUAAAUAAACAGUCCUUAAAUAUGUAUAAAAAUCUGAAAUUAUUUUAGAAUCGAAGGGAAAAAACAACCGGGUCCAAAAACCAAACCAUAUUUAGCUUAAAAACACGUUCUUAUUUGCAUCCACUAGAAUACAAUAUAAUUUAAUGAUUCAAUGACAGCUGGCCCAUGAAGGGCAGAGUUUCUAGAAAGGAGGAAAUACCCUCUUUGGGUGUUACUUAGGUAUUAAGUGUAUUAUUUAAUUCAUUGUUUUAUUUAAUUUGGUUAUAUCUUUUUUUUUUGAGAUUUUGUUUUCAUGUUGGGUGGGUAGUUUUUCUAAGAAUAAGAAAUCCCAAUGACAACAAAAUGUCAUUGUUUUUAAGAGAAGGAGAUAAAUACAUUUUAAACUGUUAUAUUUAUUUAUUUUCAAAAAAUGCUGGAGGCAUCAUGUUAGCAAUUGCAGGGGAUAACAUGAAUAUGACAAAGCUGCUCUCAAAAAACUUACCACUUUGUAGAAGGGAAAGCUAAGUGCCUAUUCCAAGCAAAAUAUGAUAUGAUACAUGCCUUUAGAGAGGAGUAAAUUUUAAUGAGGCUUCAAAGAGCUGGAAGAAGAGGUCAAGGUUCAAAGAGCCUAAGAUAAGGCACAGAACUGGGGUUCUGGUACAAUGCAUUACAGCAUGGCCAAUUUUCAAAGGCCAGCUGUUCCCAGUCAAACGAAGAUGAAGCUGAGGGCAGGUGCAAUCAAUGGGAAAAUCAGGCCACCCUCUCCUAUUUUCCCAUAGAUGCAGUUUCAUGAUCAAUAGUUUUAUAAUCUCAUUUUGGGUAGCAAAAUGAAAAUGAAUCUGAAGCAUUCUUUCUAGUUUAUUUCACACUAAUAAAAUCCAACCUGAAGGAUUUUAUAUGUUGGCUCUAUGGCCGUUAGUAUUUGAUUAAGGUGUUUAGCCUCAUUAGUAAUCAAAGGAAUGAAAACUAGAAUAAAAAUUCAGUCAUUGUUUUUGGUUUAUCAAAUUGAUAAAGACUUAAAAUGGCCACCAAGCAUUGGGGAGGUUAGGAGUGAUAGGCUCUCUCCUUCUAUCUAUGGAAUAUUCCUUGGCUCACCAUGGCUGGAGAACAAUCCACAUCCAAUAGCUCAUCAAGUCUACUUCCAGGAAUGUAUUCCAGAGGAAUAGUAUGGACCUAUGCAAAAACUUGUGUACAAAAUUAUUCCUCAGAGCUUUGCUUAUUAUUGGGAAGAAUGAGUAAAGAAAUAAAUGCCCGGCCAGGCGCGGUGGCUCAUGCCUGUAAUCUCAGCACUUUGGGAGCCAAGGCGGGUAGAUCACCUGAAGUCAGGAGUUCGAGACCAGACUGGCCAACAUGGUGAAACCCCUUCUCUACUAAAAAUACAAAAAUUAGCUGGGCGUGGUGGCAGGAAUCUGUAAUCCCAGCUACUCAGGAGGCUGAGGCAGGAGAAUCUCUUGAACCUGGGAGGUGGAAGUUGCAGUGGGCCGAGAUUGUGUCAUUGCACUGCAGCCUGGGUGACAAGAGCGAAACUUCGUCUAAAAAAAAAAGAAAAAAAAAAAAGAAAGAAAGAAAUGCCCCGAAACAGGUUAAUAAAUUUAAAAGUAUUAUGCCAGGAAGGGAACAGUAGCAGUCCACUAUGCCUAGAAACUAAGCCUAGUAACUUAGAAAAAAAAAUCUUCCAAGUGUUUUAGGUAAGUUAGUAUUAAUAAUUCUACCCAAGGUCAAUCCCCUCCCCUCCAUUUCCUCCUCUUCAGAUAUUCUGUGCUUCUGCCAAAUAGGACAACUUGCUAUUUGUGUCCUGAACUGACCUUAUACACUUUCUUGCCUCUCUGCCUUUGCUCGUGCUUUCCCACUGUCUCAAUGGCUUUCCUUAAUCUCUGAGGUCUCACCUCUUCAAGACCCAAUUGUGUAAGCCACCUUACAUAAUGUUAUUAUGAUGUCCCCCUUCCUCAUCCAGCCAGAAGGAUUUACUUCCUUCUCUGUAUGCUCAUAGCAAUUUGUUCAUUUUCUAUUCUUCUCACCCUUGUCCUGUGUUAGAGUUACCGAAAUAUAUGUAUAUGUGUGUGUAUAUAUUUUUUGUCUUGUUUUGUUCCUGUUAGAUUUUGAACAACUUGAGGGCAGGGGCCAAUCUUGUUCAGAUUUAUACCCCCCAGAGUUAUAAAGCAUGCUGUGAAAAUGAUUGUUGACUGAAUAAGCGAGUGAGUGAAUGCAAAAGUACACUUGGAGCCAAAUGCUUAUAUUCUCUGCAGACAUGGAAUAAACUUGACAAGUGCUAAAGAUGCUCUUUGAUUUUUGUGUGGCAUGAGACCUCAGGCUGAAACUUCUCAUCUGAGCCAUUGAAGGGAGCCUCUCAUCUCUCCACCGAGAGGGGAGACCAGAAUGCUCUGUUUCUGGCAGGAAUCUGACACCACUUACUCCUUGGGUAGAAACUCCCCCAAGUCUGAACUAUGUGAUUGCCUGAGCCCUGCUUCUUGUUCAUUAAGACUGCUCCUCUGAAACGGAAUUGAUGAAUUUUUAGUGGCUAUUAGAAGCAUUUGGGAUCCAUAGGCAUCAGGGUUUGAUGCAUGGCCCUCAUCUCUGUGGGCUCCUGUGCAAUGAUUCUCAUCUGUCUUAGUUAGAAAGUGAAUUAAUCUUGACCUUGGCCUCAGGGGUGUGGUUCUCUGCCCUCUUACACAUCUUCAAUUCGCUUCUUUAUCAGAAGCACUUGUUUUAGGCCCAGGCUCCCCCAAUUUUAAUGACAUUUAGACAUUUGUCUUUAAGUUACAUUGCUUUGAUUUUAAUCAAAAUCUAUAUUUCUAGUAUUAUAUGUUUCCAGAAAGUUCUCAUUCUGGAUUGUAAUUUAAUUACAUGGAUCAUUAAAGCUUUGAAGGAUGCUAAUGGGCAGAAAAAAGAGACUUAACAAAACGAAAGUUAUUAUUAGGAAUUACAAAUCACUUAACAUUUCAACAUCACUCGUCGGAUGUGGGCAUUUUGUUGAAAGAGACCUUGUUUUGAACAGUGACAGUGCAGAAGACCUAUGGAAGAAACAAGCUUCCAACUUGAUUUCUAUUGUUAUGCAUGCAUAGCAAAUUAUUAAUUCUAUUCUAAUAGGGUAAUAGAUUUAGAAAUACUAUUAGCAGAAAACUUGAUGUAUUAGGCAAUACUACAUACCACAUUAGUCUAACCGCUCAACUGUAAUUUUUCAUCCAUACUUUCUUGGGAUGUAAAUAAAAUUGAUAUUAUACAAUGAAAAUAAAAUUGCCCACUAGUCUUGCUUAUUCUCUUGGUGGGCUGAAGAGUUAAACUGUGGUGAAUGCUGUUAGAUAGGAAGGUAAUGAAAACUUCAGUUAGCUUAGGAUUAUUCUUACCAGCAAGCAUUAGUUAAAAGUUAAAUUUAGCAAGUGGUUACCCAAAUGUUAAAGGCAUUUAAACUGGCUGGGCACAGUGAGUGGCUCACGCCUGUAAUCCUAGCACUUUGGGAGGCCGAGGCGGGUGGAUCAUAUGAAGUCGGGAGUUCAAGACCAGCCUGGACAACAUGGUGAAACCCCGUCUCUACUAAAAAUACAAAAAAUUAGCUAGGCGUGGUGGCAGGCGCCUGUAAUCCAGCUACUUGGGAGGCUGAGGCAGGAGAAUCACUUGAACCUGGGAGGCAGAGGUUGCGGUGAGUCGAGAUUGUGCCACUGCACUCCAGCCUGGGCAACAGAGUGAGACUCCCUCUCAAAAAAAAAAGUAUUUGAACCAUUCUUUCUGUGCUGCAUAAGGUAUUAAUAAUAAAACAUUACAUGACUGCAUGUAUAAUUCUACCUAAUUGAAUUGAGUUUUCAAAUUAUUUUUUGUGUGUGUCUUAGACAGUGGCGCAUUGAAAGUACUGCCUGUCCAAAAUCAGGAACAGAAAAGUAUUUCAAUUACUCAGAAAGUAGACAUGGCUGGAAAAUCAUAAGUAAGUGGUUAUUAAUGUCAAGUUUAAAGCUCUCAGGCUCUUCUGUCAGGCCACGCAGGGCAAAUGAGAUCAACAGGAUGGUUUCUUGUUUUUUUUUGAGACGGAGUCUUGCUCAUUGCCCAGGCUGGAGUGAGAGCAGCGGCACGGUCUCGGCUCACUGAAACCUCCUCCGCCUCCUGGGUUCAAGCAAUUCUCCUGCCUCAGCCUCCUAAGCAGCUGGGAUUAUAGGCAAGAGCCACCACGCCCGACUAAUUUUUAUAUUUUUAGUAGAGAUGGGGUUUCACCAUGUUGGCCAGGCUGGUCUUGAACUCCUGGUCUAAAGUGAUCCACCCUUCUUGGCCUCUCAAAGUGCUGAGGUUAUAGGCGUGAGUCACUGUGCCUGGCCCAACAGAAUGGUUUCUAAUAAAAAUAUUUAUUACCAUUGCAUCCUACCCCAUUCCCACUCAGUGUGCCCCUUACUUAAAUGGCCGCCUUCACCCAGGCCACUACAGGGAGGGCACUGACUUGGAAGGACAGAACACUCACCACUACCUAGCCUUCACCCUGGUCAUCAGUUGCACUUGAUAUGGCUAUAGCUGGUAUAUUUCUAUAAUGAUGGGAAUCAUAGAAAUUGUUAGUAUUGAGUUGCAAGUCAUUGGUAAUGUUUUCCAAGGAAUGACCAAGUUCUGUGAUAAUAUAUGCACAGACAGGAAAAAAUACAAAUAAAUUUAACAGCACAUAUAAAAAUACUAUCACCUUAUACUGUUCAUUUUGUGCCAUCCAGGCAUGUAAGGGAGAGAGAAAUAAGAUAAAUUUGCUGGUGGGAGAAGCAAGCAAAUAGAGAGAAGUUUAGAGGCAAAGAAUUUGGGAGGGGCUGGUGAAAAAGAAGGGGAAGGAGGAAGUACAACC
Molecule: long non-coding RNA, 20140 nt
Filed under: Homo sapiens (human)
Lineage: Eukaryota; Metazoa; Chordata; Mammalia; Primates; Hominidae
Description: HSALNT0305985
Source: RNAcentral